This 10270-nucleotide long non-coding RNA is filed under the name Malus domestica (apple). RNAcentral describes it as "long non-coding RNA (MDOM_LNC017329)". The record is from RNAcentral. Lineage: Eukaryota; Viridiplantae; Streptophyta; Magnoliopsida; Rosales; Rosaceae.
GCAAAAUUUUAGUUGUUAAGCCACUAAAUUCUUCAGAGUCAAUGACUCGCGUGCAAUAUCAUAGGAUGAUUCCAAAUACAUUUCCAACCUGUGACCAUUAACUCAUGACCACUAACCUCUUUUUUAAUCUCCACAUCCCCAUAAGAAUAAAUCUUAGUAACCACAUAAGGCCCCACCCACCCAGCUUAGAGACAUAGAAUAUGCAUGCUAGGAUAGGACCACAUAACAAUUUGUUUGCUUUUGACUAUGCUUGUGUGAAAUUUAUGUCGCUUUAACUGCUUUAAAUUCUCUGCCAAUUGAUAAUGUGGAACUGAUGUGGUUGAUGAUAAGAUAGACUUGUUGCUGGAUGCAAGAUCCAACUUUACUGUUUGUAUGUUUUGUCUACUACGCAAAAGCCCAAAUUUUUUAAUCCAUAACAUGUAUUACCAACCCAGUUUUACACAUCACAGUAUGUUCACAAGCACUCAUUAAUUUUUGAACCAAGUGUGUUUGAAAAUUAAAAACGGAAUGUAAGACACAAAAUUAAACUAGAACUAAUUAGGAAAGAAACAAAUUUAAAAUAAAAAAUAUAUAUAUUUUUGGAUUUUUCAAGGUUUUCUAUUUUCCUUUUUUUUUUGAAACUGUUGAAAACAAACUAAAAUAAAAUAAAGUUUAAGAAAUUAAAAAUAUCUAUAAACAUAAAACAAAACUUAAAGAAAAUAAGGAAAGAAUUGGAAACUUGGGUAAUAGAUGCAGCAGAAGUCUAGUGGUUAAGUCACUUGAUCAUUUAGAGUCAAUGACUUGUGUAAUAGACGUGACACUAAGUACAGUUCAGGCAUGUGACCUACCUUGAACUCAUGAGGAUUUUUAAUCUCCACAGCCCCAUGCGAAUAAAGCUUAGCAACCACAUAAGACCUAGCCCACCUUAGGACAUAGAAUUUGCAUGCUAGGAUAGGACCCCAUAACAAUUUGUUUGCUUUGACUAUGCUUGCAUGAAAUUUCUGUCACUUUAACUGCUUUAAAUUCUCUGCCAAUUGAUAAUGUAGAACUCAUGUGGUUGAUAAUAAGGCAGACUUGUCACGCCCGAUCCCAACAUACGUCGAGAAUCGACACGUGAAAAGGAAAAUAAUGUCCGUUGAAUACGGUAUAAGUUACAGAAUAAAAUACUUUAAUUGAUAAACCAAAAUAAUAUGAAGGUGGCUAAGUUCUCCACAAAAUAUUUACAAAUAUGUACAUCCCAAAAAGAAGCAUAAUCUUUGCUUUACUAAGAACAAGAUUGAGGUGCUCAAAAGAAAGUCCCAAAGAUAAAGUACAAGAUAGGAUAGGGGUAACCUAGCACUCCAAAUCUCUGAUAACUGUACCGCUACCCCACCUACGAACCUCUCGAAGCUACUCAGACUUGUUACCUGUAAGAUCAGUGCCUACACCAUCGAAAUGGUGCACCGAGCAAACAACAACCCAGAUAAGCUACGAAGCUUGUGUGAGCGAUAAAUAAAACAAAGUAUAUGAUACUAAUAAUAAAACCAACCAUCAUUCACAAUUAUAAACCUUGAAUAUAAAUCAUUUAUAAGAAAUCACUACCAAACCUUGCAACCUCCGAAUGAGUCACACAUACAUCCAACGAGUUUUCUAAAUCAAAACUCAGAGUUCUCAAAGCCACAUUCACAGAUAUAUUCAAAACAUAGUUAGAGAGACGUCGUUCGGCUGAAGCCUACACAAGUAACCAAAUAGGAAGUGGCCCCCCAAAGCGGAUCAACCAAGCAAAGCCACCCCUAAGAAAGUAACCAAGUAGGUAGUGACCCCCCAAUGCGGAUUAACCAAGCAGAGUCACCCCUGAGAAAAUAACCAAAUAGGUAGUGACCCCCCAAUGCGGAUUAACCAAGCAGAGUCACUCCUAUAACUAUUGGAAGGUGAUCACCCAAUGCGGAUUAACCAAGCAUGAUCACCUUUAAAUGUGUAUAUACCUAGGAUAUAAGGAUCGCCCAACGCAGAUUAACCAAGCGCGAUCCGCAAAUAGUAUGGUCCCUUAACGCGGAUUAACCAAGCAGGACCAUCCAGGACCAUUGCUACGUGAUGCAGACUUAGUGUCACCUAACCCCAUGACACUAGGGUAAUGGUCCUUUACAAUCCUUCAUUUCUAUCAAACCAUCAAAUAUAUAUUCCAAAACAUAAUCCAUCAUUUUUAUCAACCAUCACAUAUAUAUCCCAAAACACAAUCCAUCAUUUUUAUCAACCUACAUAUAUAUCCCAAAACACAAUCCAUCACAGUUCAAAUAUCCAAGUCACCUAAUGUUUCAUAAGUAGAUCGACGACAACUUAAUAGCAACAAUUAUUUAGCAUCAGAACUAUUUUAAAAAUCCAUAGUGUAACCACAAAGUUUAUUAGAAUCACUCACCUGAGAUCCACACUAACGCACUCAAAAACGAGAGUCAAGGCAUCACGUUCUAUCACCGCCUAACAAGGUACAAACCACAUUUAUAUUUCCUUCGAUAAUUCACAUACUUAAAACUCUCAUAUAUCUCCCACAACAACAUUUAAUGAGGAAUCGAACUAUCAUUCUAAGGUAGGGUCCAUGAUCUUACGUCACUUAUUCCGUAAUAUCUAAUCACUAGAUUUUCACUUGUAAGUCCCUAAGGUCCUUAAACAAUAUCUACCAUAGCAUACUAAAAUUAGUGUCAAUACACUGUAAGAUCGUCAAUUGUUAGCGUUAUCAAGUGGCGGACCUUAUCGAUAAAAUACUCAACCAACAACAUUUUCAUAAAUCGAAUGUCACACACCGGAAAAUUUGACUUUCUCUAAAAAUUCUCAAAUUUUACAAGAAUAAAGAUUUCAACAAGUAGAGUAAACUUUAUACCUGUGGUCGAGUCCAAUUUGGCCUGGAAGGCCCUCAAAUUGGCUCACACCCAACGAACCCUAAGGUGGGUGUUCUUCACUUCGGUUUCCUUGGUGUUCCAACGCCCCAACCACCAGUUAGGUCCUGUUCUUGGGUCCAAGGGAAGUUGAUUAAGGAUGAUGGUUAGUGGUGAUACUCUUCGGAAUGACAAUUCGUCGUUGAGAACCCCCGGGUUCUCCUAUGGAGUUCUAUCCGAAUUAGACCUUAAUAACCCUUGAUUUUUGGUAGAGAGGGAAGGGAGAAGAUAUUUAAGCAAGUUACAGGUGAAGGAGAUAGGAGAAUCAGCUGAGAAUUUGAGGAACUUACAUGAAAUGGCUGGUUUGAAAACGGUUUGGUGGUGCACACAGUUCACCAAAUAGGGAAGAAAGAAAAAGUGUCCCCUUUUUUUCCUUUAGUUCGCCUUUUCUAGCUCCCCCCCCCCACAAAAAAAACCAUUUGAUUGAUCUUUUCUUUUUUUUAUAUUAUUAUUUAUUUAUUUUUAAACCAACUUAACUUUUAAUCCACAUGUGGAAAUUAAACAAUUCCCACAAUCUAUAGUUCACAACUUAAACAUCAGCAACUAUACCGUUAUAAUUCGAACUCGCAAAUGGCUUUCGCCUAUGCAUUCGUGGGUUUGAGAUCUAUUUAAAAAUACUAGUUGUAACUUCCAAAUAUCAACGAAAGAUAACGAUUGAUUAAGAAACUUCCAACUCGAUAACUAAUCAAUUACUAAACUUAAAUAAUGGAAUUAAAAUUAACUAAUAAAGAUAACGUAAUCGCGAAAUACGAAUUUAAAAUUCGAGAUACGUAAUGAAUGGUGAAAUUCCGAGGAUGGGAUUUCACAUCCUUCCCCCCUUAAAAAGAGUUUAGUCCCCUAAACUCAACGCAUCUGAGUCAAAUAUAUGGGGAUAAUGUUGGCGCAUCUCAAUCUCUGGUUCCCAAGUUGACUCCUCCACACCAUGAUUAUUCCAUAACAUGCGCACCAAUGAAAUAGUCUUGGUGCGGAGAGCUUUCUCUCUCUGAUCAAUAAUUUCAAUGGGGUACUCCUCAUAACUGAGAUUUUCCUUAACCUGAAUAGGCUCAUAAAAAAUGACAUGAGAAGGAUCACUACAAUACCUCCGGAGUGAGGAUAUGUGGAAUACUGGGUGAAUGUGAGACAACUCUGGAGGUAGUGCAAGGCGAUAGGCAACUUCGCCCACUCUCUCCAAUACCUUAAAUGGUCCAAUGUACCUUGGACUAAGCUUCCCUUUACGUCCAAAUCUAAAAACGCCUUUCAUAGGUGAAACCCGUAGCAUAUUCUCCAAUAUCGAACGUCACCUCACAUCUGUGAGGAUUAGCAUAACUCCGUUGUCUACUCUGAGCGGCUAAUAGAUGUGCACGGAUCAUAGAAAUCUUUUAUGCUGCAAUCUGUAUUAACUCUUGUCCCAAUAAUUGACGUUCUCCUACUUCGUCCCAGUAUAAAAGAGACCUACACUUUCUUCCAUAAAGUGCCUCAUAUGGUGCCAUCUUAAUACUAGCCUGGUAGCUAUUAUUAUAAGCAAAUUCAAUCAAAGAUAUCUGCUUAUCCCAAUUACCUUUCAAAUCAAGUAUGCAAGCUCGAAGCAUAUCCUCCAACGUCUGAAUGGUGCGUUCUGACUGACCAUCGGUUUGAGGAUGAAAAGCUGUGCUAAAACUCAACUUAGUCCCCAUAGCAUUAUGAAGGCUACCCAAAAAACGAGAAGUGAAACGAGGAUCACGAUCGGAAAUGAUGGAUACUGGAACUCUAUGCAACUUAAUAAUCACAUCUAAAAAUAGUCUUGCAAGUCGCUCAAGAGUAUAAGUUUUCUCAACAACAAUAAAAUGAGCAGAUUUCGUCAAUCGAUCGACGAUCACCCAAAUGGAAUCAUGCCCAUCACGAGUUUUCGGUAAGCCUGUUACAAAAUCCAUGGUAAUGUGCUCCCACUUCCACUCGGGAAUAGGGAGUGACUGAAGUAAACUUGUAGGUCGCUGAUGCUCUGCCUUAACUUGUUGACAAGUCAAGCAAUGUGCGAUGAACUCGGCAAUCUCUUUUUUCAUAUUUCCCCACCAGAAAUUAUCACGAAGAUCUCGAUACAUCUUUGUGCUCCCAAGGUGGACGGAAAAAUGGGAAGUAUGAGCCUUCUCCAUGACCUCUCUCCGUAGGUUUUUAACAUUCGGAACACAAAGUCGAGUCCUGUAACAAAGUACAGCACUGUCAAAAAUGGUAAAAUCGGGCCGAGUACCUGUUCGUACUCCUUCCAUGAUCAGAACUAACUCUGAGUCUUCACUUUGGGUUGCUUGAAUCCGAUUAAUUAACGAAGGUUGUACCGUAAGGGCUGCGAGGAGAGGAUCUCAACCCUGAUUAAUCGGUUUAAUCUCCAUUCGCUUAAGAUCCUCCGCUAACUGACCAACCUGAAGUGAUAAAGCUGCAACACUAGUUAAGUGUUUCUGACUCAAAGCAUCAACAACUACAUUUGCCUUACCAGGAUGAUAAAGAAUAUGACAAUCAUAACCUUUCACCAACUAUAACCAACGUCUUUGUAGCAAGUUUAGCUCUCGUUGGGUGAAAAUAUACUUGAGGCUCUUAUGAUCGGUAUAAAUCUCACAAGACUCCCCAUACAGAUAAUGUCGCUAAAGCUUUAAUGCAUAAACCACAACAGCUAGUUCUAAAUCAUGAGUGGGAUAAUUAAGUUCAUGCGGCUUAAGUUGGCGAGAAUCAUAAGCCAUAACCUUACCGUGCUGCAUCAGAACGCAACCUAAUCCUUUAUGGGACGUAUCAGUGUAUACUACAAAACCUCCAAAACCAAAUGGAAGCGUAAGAACAGGUGCAGAGACGAGUCUCUUCUUUAGCUCCUCAAAACUAGCCUCACAUUCAUCAUUCCAAACAAAAGGAGUAUCCUUCCUUGUCAGUUUCGUCAGAGGAAGUGCUAACGAUGAAAAACCUUUAAUAAAUCUGCGAUAAUAUCCAGCUAAGCCCAGAAAACUCCGAAUCUUAGUCACCGUGGUAGGUCGACUCCAACCGACAACUGCCUCCACCUUGGUAGGAUCCACCUGAAUACCAUCCCUCGAAAUCACAUGGCCAAGGAAUUUAACACUUUCCAACCAAAACUCACAUUUGCUAAACUUAGCAUACAACCUAUGAUCUCGCAUCAUCUGCAAAACAGGUCUUAGAUGUUCCUCAUGUUCAGUGGCACUCCGUGAAUAAAUCAGAAUGUCAUCAAUGAACACCACCACAAACUUAUCAAUAAACAGUCGGAACACCCUAUUCAUCAAGUUCAUGAACGCAGUAGGGGCAUUAGUCAGACCAAACGGUAAAACGAAGAACUCAUAAUGACCAUAGCGAGUCCGAAAAGCUGUCUUUGCUAUAUCUUCUUCUCGGAUCCUCAACUGAUGAUAACCAGUUCUUAAAUCUAACUUACUAAAAUAUUGAGCACCUUGCAGUUGAUCAAACAAGUCAUCAAUCCUCAGUAAAGGGUACUUAUUUCGGACUAUCACCUUAUUAACCUCACGAUAAUCAAUGCACAACCACAUAGAUCCGUCUUUUUUCUUCACAAACAGAAUAGGAGCACCCCAUGGUGAAACACUAGGGCGAAUUAAACCUUUAUCCAACAACUCCUGUAACUGUACCUUAAGCUCCCUAAGUUUAAAAGGUGCCAUUCGAUAUGGAGCCUUAGAAAUAGGUGUGGUCCCUGGCAUAAGAUCAAUGGUGAACUCAAUUUCCCUCACUGGGGGCAAGCCAGGCAAUUCAAUUGGAAACACAUCAGGAAACUCCUUAAAUAUUGGGAUGGUGUCAACCUUACUGUUUCCUUGAUCAACGACCAUGACAUGAGCUAGAUAACCCUGACAUCCAUGUUUCAUAAGUCGUCUAGCCUUAGUGGCUGAUAUCAUUACUGGUGCUAGAAUAGGUUUACGAUCUCCAACAAACUAAAACUGAGGUUUACCAAGUGGUAAAAAAGUCACCACUUUCUCAAAGCAAUCAAAAUUCACGCGAUACAAGGGUAAGUAAUCCAUGCCAACAAUGACAUCUAAAUCUCGCAUCGGAAUAAUCAUCAAAUCCAUUGUUAUCUCACCCUGACCCACACGAGCCUCACACGAUCGAACUACUUUUUUAACGACAUAAGGUCCCGAAAAAGGUGAGGAAAUAGAGUACGUCACAUCUAUCAUCUCUAUAGGUUUAUCCAAAGACUUCACAAAAUUAUUUGAUAUAAAUGAGUUCUCGGCCCCAGGGUCAAAUAAUACUUUAGCGGGGAGUGAAUCAAAAUGAAUAGUACCUGUAACUGUGUUCGGCUCCGCCUCGACCUCCAUAGUAGAUAAUGCAUAAACUCUGCUAACUCGAUGAGUACCUGCCUGAGAUGUCUUCGCUCCACUGCUCUGGGCCCCAUCUUACUGAGAACCUCCACCAAACUAUCUACCUCUCUACUGUCCUGCCCUUUGCUGCCCAAUCCUCAGCUGGCCCGAGACUGAAGAUGCUCUAGUAGGCCUACUCUGCACCGAAGAUGCUACUGAACCCCCAACAGUAGCAUAUGGUAUGCCAGUACCACUAGCAGUAAUCUGGGGACAAUCACGAAUGAAGUGACCCAUUUCACCACACUGAUAACAGGUUCUAGUACCAUCUCUACAUGCUCCAUGGUGGUGAUGUCCGUAGUGAGCACAAAUCCGUGAAAGUGUCUUAUGUGGCCCAUGAGAUCCUCUGGAAAAACUUUGUGAACAACCUCUAGAAGAAGUCUGGGGUCCACGUCUGAACGCGCUCUAGGUACCCCCACGGAAACGGCCCUGAUAACUCGCCCCAGCUGAAUGCUGGGAGCCUUCCCUAGAAGUAGCAUGUAAGUUUCCAUGAGAAGUGCCCUGAUAUCCCCUAUGGGACGAUCCCUAUAAACCACCAAAUAAUGGUCCCUAGCGCUUCCGGAAUCUACCCGAAAACGCAUUAGAUAAUUGACCAUCUGACCGGGCCCUCUUCCUCUGUUCUCCACCCUCUCGUGCAUUGCGCUCCUCAUUAAUCUUAGCUGUGCGUGCACGAUCAAUCGCCUGGGCGUAAGAAAGCAAUCCCUAGACGGAUAAUAGAUCUCUGAUACUAGGCUUGAACCUCCUAAUAAGUUUCUUCGUUUUCUUAUCUUCAGGAAGAGGCUGGGAGAAACGGUAAAACGAGCCAUAAAAUCAGCCACUGUAUCGGCUCAACAGUGGAAAACUCAGCCUCUAACUCGUCUCGGAAUGACUCUGGGAAAUAUUGCUCAAAGAAUGCGGUCUGAAACCGCUCCCAAGUAAGAGGUCCCUUAGCUACUAAUAAUGGACGAGUGAUCUGCCACCACUCGUAGGCCUCACCUGUCAACAUAUACGCUGCAAGAUCAACCUGCUCCCCAGAUGAGCAAUGCAAUACUGUGAAAAUUCUGGCGAUCUGAUUGAUCUAGGACUCAGCCGCCCAUGGAUCGACACUACCAUCAAAGGAAGACAACUUAUGGGUACGGAACUCCCCAUACAAAGGCUUCUCCUUACUAGAAGCCGCUUGAACGUGAGCCUGCAUUAACUGUGUCAAAUCCUCGAUGGCCCGGAAAGCUCCAUCGGGUCCAUCAUAAUCAUGGCUAGCCUCCUGACCAGAAGUAGAAGUGCCUUCAUCGGGAACAUCAUCCCCAAACUGCUGAGUAGUAUCGUGUGGGGUCGUCAUAAUGUCUGAUGCAAGAAGAAUUCAACAUAAGCAUAUAAUCAACAUUCGAGAGACGAAUUCACGGACCUAGUCAAGGUUCACAACCCAACCUUCCCAAGGUUUCCUCACUCUAAGGUUAAGGUAUGAAACCUUGAACCUAAGCUCUGAUACCACAAAAAUUGUCACGCCCCAAUCCCAACAUACGUCGAGAAUCGACACGUGACAAGGAAAAUAACGUCCGUUGAAUACGGUAUAAGUUACGGAAUAAAAUACUUUAACUGAUAAACCAAAAUAAUAUGAAGGUCUCUAAGUUCUCCAAAAAAUAUUUACAAAUAUGUACAUCCCAAAAAGAAGCAUAAUCUUUGCUUUACUAAGAACAAGAUUGAGGUGCUCAAAAGAAAGUCCCAAAGAUAAAGUACAAGAUAGGAUAGGGGUAACCUAGCACUCCAAAUCUCUUAUAACUGUACCGCUACCCCACCUACGAACCUCUCGAAGCUACUUAGACUUGUUACCUAUAAGAUCAGUGCCUACACCAUCGAAAUGGUGCACCGGGCAAACAACAACCCGGAUAAGCUACGAAGCUUGUGUGAGCGAUAAAUAAUACAAAGUAUAUGAUACUAAUAAUAAAACCAACCAUCAUUCACAAUUAUAAACUUUGAAUAUAAAUCAUUUAUAAGAAAUCGCUACCAAACCUUGCAACCUCCGAAGGAGUCACAAAUACAUCCAACGAGUUUUCUAAAUCAAAACUCAAAGUUCUCAAAGCCACAUUCACAGAUAUAUUCAAAACUAGAGUUAGAGAGACGUCGUUCGGCCGAAGCCUACGCAAGUAACCAAAUAAGAAGUGGCCCCCCAAAGCGGAUCAACCAAGCAAAGCCAACCCUAAGAAAGUAACCAAGUAGGUAGUGACCCCCAAUGUGGAUUAACCAAGCAGAGUCACCCCUGCGAAAAUAACCAAAUAGGUAGUGACCCCCCAAUGCGGAUUAACCAAGCAGAGUCACUCCUAUAACUAUUGGAAGGUGAUCACCCAAUGCGGAUUCACCAAGCAUGAUCACCUUUAAAUGUGUAUGGCCAUACCUAGGAUAUAAGGAUCGCCCAACGCGGAUUAACCAAGCGCAAUCCACAAACAGUAUGGUCCCCUAAUGCGGAUUAACUAAGUAGGACCAUCCAGGACCACUGCUACGUGAUGCAAACUUAGUGUCACCUAACCCCAUGACACUAGGGUAAUGGUCAUUUACAAUCCUUCAUUUCUAUCAAACCAUCAAAUAUAUAUUCCAAAACACAAUCCAUCAUUUUUAUCAACCAUCACAUAUAUAUCCCAAAACACAAUCCAUCAUUUUUAUCAACCAUUACAUAUAUAUCCCAAAACACAAUCCAUCACAGUUCAAAUAUCCAAGUCACCUAAUGUUUCAUAAGUAGAUCGACGACAACUUAAUAGCAACAAUUAUUUAGCAUCAGAACUAUUUUAAGAAUCCAUAGUGUAACCACGAAGUUUAUUAGCACAAAAGAUUUCAAAGCAAUAACCAUAACACAUAGAUUAGAAUCACUCAUCUAAGAUUCACACUAACGCACUCAAACACGAGACUUAAGGCAUCACGUUCUAUCACCGCCUAACAAGGUACAAACCACAUUUAUAUUUCCUUCGAUAAUUCACAUACUUAAAACUCUCAUAUAUCUCCCACAACAACAUUUAAUGAGGAAUCGAACUAUCAUUCUAAGGUAGGGUCCAUGAUCUUGCGUCACUUAUUCCGUAAUAUCCAAUCACUAGAUUUUCACUUGUAAGUCCC